GGCUAAGCAGGUAGUGUGGUAGUAGAUGGUAUGGCAGUUUUGGUGUGGCUAAGCAGGUAGUGUGGUAGUAGAUGGUGUGGCUAAGGAGGUGGUGUGGUAGUAGAUGGUGUGGCUAAGGAGGUGGUGUGGCUAAGGAGGUGAUGUGGUGGUAGAUGGUGUGGCUAAGCAGGUGGUGUGGUAGUAAGUGGUGUGUCUGAUGAUGUGGUGUUGCUAAGUAGUUUGGCAGUUUGUGG
Pelobates cultripes (western spadefoot toad) is the source of this 233-nucleotide non-coding RNA. Lineage: Eukaryota; Metazoa; Chordata; Amphibia; Anura; Pelobatidae. The record is from the annotation of a GenBank genome assembly.